GUCAGCACCAGCUUCCGCUUUGUUCAGCUGGAGUCCGAAAGGAAACUGGACUCCCUGUGUCCUCACCGCUCCUCCUCUGCCUGCUAAAUACAGGCGUGCAGAGUGAUGCAGGUUCUGCUGCUGCUGUCGCCCCACUUGUGGAACAGCGUUCUCACUCGGAACCGCUCGUGCCCGUCCUCAUCCCUCUCUCUCUCCACAUGCUCUGAGAGGAGGGAGGCAGACGGCGACGGAGAGGCAGGGAGAACAACCUCUGAUAUCAGCUGUCGGAGGAGAGGCAAAGGGACCCAAGAACACGACAACAAACCUCACCUGUCCUUCUACACUCACCUGUGUCACUGAGUGAGGGCCAA
Molecule: long non-coding RNA, 350 nt
Organism: Solea senegalensis (Senegalese sole)
Lineage: Eukaryota; Metazoa; Chordata; Actinopteri; Pleuronectiformes; Soleidae
Exons: 3
Source: RefSeq, a predicted model, not a curated record